This is a transfer RNA of Camelus ferus (Wild Bactrian camel), 73 nucleotides long. It matches the Rfam family "tRNA". Rfam says of the family: Transfer RNA (tRNA) molecules are approximately 80 nucleotides in length. Their secondary structure includes four short double-helical elements and three loops (D, anti-codon, and T loops). Further hydrogen bonds mediate the characteristic L-shaped molecular structure. tRNAs have two regions of fundamental functional importance: the anti-codon, which is responsible for specific mRNA codon recognition, and the 3' end, to which the tRNAs corresponding amino acid is attached (by aminoacyl-tRNA synthetases). tRNAs cope with the degeneracy of the genetic code in two manners: having more than one tRNA (with a specific anti-codon) for a particular amino acid; and 'wobble' base-pairing, i.e. permitting non-standard base-pairing at the 3rd anti-codon position. NCBI's taxonomy places the organism in Eukaryota, Metazoa, Chordata, Mammalia, Artiodactyla, Camelidae. The record is from Rfam.
GAGGGUGUAGCUCAAGUGGUAGAGCACAUGCUUAGUAUACAGGAGGUCCUGGGUUCAAUUCCCAGUAACUCCU